UGAACAGCUUCACAGUAAAUGGGCUAUAAAUGGUAAUUUUGCAAAGACCACUUAACAAAUCAAUUUCCAGAUUUCUAUUUCUAAGACAAAGAUUAAAGGGUGACAGAAGCAGCUUCUUCUGGAUGACCAGGACUGCUAGAAGAGUGAAAAGCAACUAACUGGUGGCCUAAGAGGUGGAAGACUCUUUAGGCAGAUGGAUGCCUUGCACCCCUUCACAUUCAUUCUUAGGUGAGCCAUGGCCACAGCCUUCUCAUUCCCAUAAUACUGAACCCAGCCACAACAGCCAUUGGAGGUGGCUGUACUCCCCUGCUUAGGAAGGACAGUGAUGCCCUCUUGGUCCAGCCUCUUCAACCUAAGCAUGGGUAUGGGAAAUAACUUUCACCCAACUGGGUAGCAGCACCCAUCUUUUAUGGCUUGUCAAAUGCUCAGUUCAAUAGUGCAGCAACACAGAGGCAAAAGCUCUCUCAAGAAUCCCCACACAGAAGAAGGGAAGUUGGGUGGUGAUACCCAGCUAAAGGAUUGCUCUGUCCCAUUCAAAUCUCCAGACAGUUGCUCACUUUGAAGAAGUGGAGAAACAUCAGAGCACUGACAAGCUCCGCUAUUCCUGAGCACAGAUAGGAAGAGUGUUAUCCCUGAGUAGCAUUGCCACCAUCAAGAGGAACAGGGAGGCGGAAGCACCCUUCACUACCAGUGAUUAAAGAUAAGUUCUGUUAUCUUGUUCCAAAAAUUUACCACACACUGGACAGUAUGUUGAAGAAUGUAUUUAUUUUUUAAAAAAAUUUACCUUCAUCAGUAAUAGCCAAGGGCAGAUUAAGGCAGGAUUCUUGACCCCUGUGAUUUGGACCCAGUGGCCUGAACACUGCUGUGAAAAACCCAAAAUAAGGGGAGUGGCCUAAUAAUUAAACACACAAGUAUGCCACCCACUUUUGCCAGCGAGUAAUUUGGCCCAUAGCCCCAACUCACAGAUUGACUUUGUGAAAGCAGGCUGGUCACAAACUUUCUCCUUUAGUGCUCCUGUUUGUAGGAUGGGCUGUUUUCCUACCUACUUACCAACAGCAUUGUAAGGAUUACUUUAUAAAAGCAUUGUGGAAUCAAAAAGCCAAAAUAUAAGUGCAAA
Molecule: long non-coding RNA, 1117 nt
Organism: Dermochelys coriacea (leatherback sea turtle)
Lineage: Eukaryota; Metazoa; Chordata; Testudines; Dermochelyidae
Exons: 2
Source: RefSeq, a predicted model, not a curated record